Molecule: ribosomal RNA, 253 nt
Filed under: uncultured bacterium
Lineage: Bacteria
Also listed under: 1 other name
Description: partial 16S ribosomal RNA
Rfam family: Bacterial small subunit ribosomal RNA
Source: RNAcentral
UACAGAGGGUGCAAGCGUUAAUCGGAAUUACUGGGCGUAAAGCGUGCGUAGGUGGUUCGGUAAGUCAGAUGUGAAAGCCCUGGGCUUAACCUGGGAAUUGCGUUUGAUACUGUCGGACUAGAGUUUGGUAGAGGGAAGUGGAAUUCCACGUGUAGCGGUGAAAUGCGUAGAUAUGUGGAGGAACACCAGUGGCGAAGGCGGCUUCCUGGACUAAAACUGACACUGAGGCACGAAAGCGUGGGGAGCAAACAGG